RNAcentral lists this ribosomal RNA (440 nucleotides) under Phlebia sp. P.CH-1. RNAcentral describes it as "eukaryotic LSU rRNA". It matches the Rfam family "Eukaryotic large subunit ribosomal RNA", at positions 458 to 889 of the family's 3401-position model. The record is from RNAcentral. Lineage: Eukaryota; Fungi; Basidiomycota; Agaricomycetes; Polyporales; Meruliaceae.
AACCUGGCUUUUGCUUGGUGCACUUUCUAGUUGAUGGGCCAACAUCAGUUUUGACCGCUGGAAAAGAGCCUUUGGAAUGUGGCACCCUCGGGUGUGUUAUAGCCUUUGGUUGUAUACAGUGGUUGGGACUGAGGACCGCAGCACGCCUUUUUGGCCGGGGUUCGCCCACGUACGUGCUUAGGAUGUUGGCGUAAUGGCUUUAAGCGACCCGUCUUGAAACACGGACCAAGGAGUCUAACAUGCCUGCGAGUGGUUGGGUGGCAAACCCGAGCGCGCAAUGAAAGUGAAAGUUGGGACCCUGUCGGGGGAGCCCGACGCCCAUACCAGACCUACUGUGACGGCUAUGCGGUGAGCAUGUUGUUGGGACCCGAAAGAUGGUGAACUAUGCCUGAAUUAGGGUGAAGCCAGAGGAACUCUGGUGAAGCUCGUAUCGAUUCUGA